RNAcentral lists this ribosomal RNA (451 nucleotides) under uncultured bacterium. Its description in RNAcentral is "partial 16S ribosomal RNA". It matches the Rfam family "Bacterial small subunit ribosomal RNA", at positions 29 to 523 of the family's 1533-position model. The record is from RNAcentral.
AGCGAACGCUGGCGGCAGGCUUAACACAUGCAAGUCGAGCGGGCGUAGCGAUGCGUCAGCGGCAGACGGGUGAGUAACGCGUGGGAACGUACCUUUUGGUUCGGAACAACACAGGGAAACUUGUGCUAAUACCGGAUAAGCCCUUACGGGGAAAGAUUUAUCGCCGAAAGAUCGGCCCGCGUCUGAUUAGCUAGUUGGUAGGGUAAUGGCCUACCAAGGCGACGAUCAGUAGCUGGUCUGAGAGGAUGAUCAGCCACAUUGGGACUGAGACACGGCCCAAACUCCUACGGGAGGCAGCAGUGGGGAAUAUUGGACAAUGGGGGCAACCCUGAUCCAGCCAUGACGCGUGAGUGAUGAAGGCCCUAGGGUUGUAAAGCUCUUUUGUGCGGGAAGAUAAUGACGGUACCGCAAGAAUAAGCCCCGGCUAACUUCGUGCCAGCCGCCGCGGUAA